Molecule: long non-coding RNA, 748 nt
Organism: Rhododendron vialii
Lineage: Eukaryota; Viridiplantae; Streptophyta; Magnoliopsida; Ericales; Ericaceae
Exons: 2
Source: RefSeq, a predicted model, not a curated record
UCUUUUUCUCUCUCUCUCCACUCUCCCGGCCGGCUCUCUCUCACCUCUCCUCCAAACUUCUCUCUUUGAUUUCAUCUCCAUAGAAAGAGAUUUUGAAAAAAUCCCAAGUAUUAAAGUUGUUCUACACGACGAGAGCUUCCUACCCGUCCAAGAAAAUUCAUGAUCGGAGCACUUCGAAGUUUCCUCCAUGUUCGGGCUUGCUUCUAACCUUCGAGUCCAAGGGUUGUACUGGGGAAGUACUGCAACGCAAGGGGUGGUAACGCAGAAACCCAACUAUUGGGUUGUAUUUACUGCUACGCAAGGGGUGGUAAUGCAGACGGCAAUGCAAGGGGUGGAAAUGCCGAAACUUAACCAUUGGGUGAUGUUUACUGUAACGCAAGGGGUGGAAAUACAGAAGGUUGUGAGUAUUGGUAUGUUGACUUAGAAUGUGAAAUUUUGGCGGAACGAAGUACUCAUGUGAGAAACUAUGAACUUUUAACCCGAGUUGGUGUCCUAGAUGGUUUGAAGUGUCGAUGCUUGCUUUCUUCCUUCUUGUAGACUUCCUAAAUUUUAUUGGCUUGAUAAAUUGGGAUUGGUGUGGUAAUUUAUUUGGUAUCGAAACGUGUUAAGUUUGAUGCCGUAGAUGUGAUAGUAUCUAUAGUGAAAGAGUUACAUUGGUAUUGUAGUUUAAACUUAUAAUGGUAAACUCAAGAUUUGACUGAACGGUAUGCAUGUACGUAUAGGUGGAUAAUUUACACUUGUUGAUGAC